AGAACGAACGCUGGCGGCAGGCUUAACACAUGCAAGUCGAGCGCCCCGCAAGGGGAGCGGCAGACGGGUGAGUAACGCGUGGGAACGUACCCCUCGGUUCGGAAUAACUCAGGGAAACUUGAGCUAAUACCGGAUACGGCAUUCAAGAGAAAUCUUGGCGGCGAAAGAUUUAUCGCCGAGGGAUCGGCCCGCGUCCGAUUAGCUAGUUGGUGUGGUAAUGGCGCACCAAGGCGACGAUCGGUAGCUGGUCUGAGAGGAUGAUCAGCCACAUUGGGACUGAGACACGGCCCAAACUCCUACGGGAGGCAGCAGUGGGGAAUAUUGGACAAUGGGCGCAAGCCUGAUCCAGCCAUGCCGCGUGAGUGAUGAAGGCCUUAGGGUGUAAAGCUCUUCGCCCACGACGAUAAUGACGGUAGUGGGAGAAGAGCCCGGCUAACUUCGUGCCAGCAGCCGC
Molecule: ribosomal RNA, 454 nt
Filed under: uncultured bacterium
Lineage: Bacteria
Description: SSU rRNA
Rfam family: Bacterial small subunit ribosomal RNA
Source: RNAcentral